ACGACGACGGGUCUCCUGGCGCCGAUCCUGCCCACGAGAGACGAGAAGCCCAGCGCGGAGCGGAGGCGCGUCCCCGGCACAGGCUGAGGAGAACUGGACGUGGACAGAGCUCCAGGAGCAGCUCCGCGGGAGGAGCGAGGGCCCUUCCCGAGGAAGCUGAGCUGUGCGGGGAGAACGGGGAGACGCGAGCCGAGGCUUCCAGUUGCAUCUGCGGGGAAGAGGAGCUUUCCUUCUGCAUCAGUUAAGGGAACUGUGGACAUUCCAGCCGUCCAGCUGCAGUAGACAGGACAUGAAGAAACUUACAUCAGAAGCUUCCAUCUAGCUUUUCACAGGUAUGAAAGAAAAAAGUCCUU
Molecule: long non-coding RNA, 353 nt
Filed under: Dasypus novemcinctus (nine-banded armadillo)
Lineage: Eukaryota; Metazoa; Chordata; Mammalia; Cingulata; Dasypodidae
Description: lncRNA (ENSDNOG00000051668.1)
Source: RNAcentral